RNAcentral lists this long non-coding RNA (1581 nucleotides) under Canis lupus familiaris (dog). RNAcentral's name for it is "lncRNA (ENSCAFG00030002749.1)". The record is from RNAcentral. Lineage: Eukaryota; Metazoa; Chordata; Mammalia; Carnivora; Canidae.
AUGCAGGUAACAGUGAACGCUCGGCCGGCGCGCCCCGCGCCCCGCACCCCGCGCCCCGCAGGACGGCGGCGCCCACCCCUGCAGCAGGGCGCCUGGGGCGGCGCCGGCGCUCGGAAACCCGAGGCGGGAGGCCGGACCCCUCGAGGCCCCCAGACCCGGCCUCCAGGCGGGGCCGGGCCUCCGUCGGGUCCCGCUCGCUCUCCAGCGGGGCCCGCCGCCCCGCCCCGCCCCGCCCCGGCCCGAGCCCGGCCGCUGCCCCCACCGCGGCAACUCGGCGGGCCCAGGUCACUCGGCGCCGCCGCUCGCCCGGGCCCCCCGCCCCGGUCCCCGCCCCGCCGUCUCCCCCUCCCUCCCCUCCCCUCCCUCCCCUCCCCCCGGGAGGGAGGAGGAGACUCGGCGGCCCUCCCUCGGCCCUCCCGGCGGCGGCCGCAGCCAGCCCCGUGCCCGCUCCGCCCAGCCGCGGCGGGUCGGACGUCCGGAGCCCGCGGGUGCCCGGCCGAGGUGAGCGGGGGCGGCAGGGCCGGGGGCGGCGGGCCGCGGCGCCCGGGGACUCCCCCAGCCCGCGAACCUUCCGCGGGAGGGAAGGGGUUAAGGCGGGGCGUGCUGGAGGAGAGGGGCGCAGCGUCCGCAGCAACCCCCAAACUCCGGGCAGAACUUCCUGGCCCCCUCCCGGGCUCCCGCCACCUCCCGGCCCCGGACGUCGGGUGCGGAGGGGCCGCGGGGCCGCGGGGGGAAGGCAGAGCCGCCUUCGGAAUGCUGCGGGCCGGGCCGGGCCGGGCCGGGCCGGGAGGGGGCGCGGGCGGGGGCGGAAUUGGGAACUCUCCCGGGACCCAACGUGGUCACCAUGGCGAGUGUGGGACGGACGGGCGCCCGAGCCAAUCGGAGCGCGGCGCCCCCGCCUCGGCCCGCGGCGGCCGCCAAUGGGGGCCCUGCGGCGGGGUGGGCGGGACCGCGCGGCGCGGGGCCGGGAGCCCCCUCUGCCCCCGCCAGCCGCUAGAGGGAGCGGGGCGGCCGUGCCCGGCCCCGGCGGGUGGGGAGGCGGCGAGGAAGGGAGGGCCGGACGCGACUCUCGGCGUGGGAGGGCGGAAAGCGAAUUUCUGGAAGGAGCCUGGGCCGCUACGAGCGGCGGGCCCGUGCGAGGAGAAUGCAGCGGGCUGGAGCUGCCUCGGCGUUCCGACGGCGCCCGUGGAGGAGAGCUGCAGGCGCAUCUCCCCGGGCUCCUGUUUCCGUAUCUUAAGUGUGGGCUGUACAGACAGACAGGGCGGUCGGGUUGGUUCUAGUGGGUUCGGGUUGGCACAGGGUCUGCCCACUUGCUGGACGGAGCUUUUAGGGAGCUCGUUAGCGCCUCUCCCCCAUGGUACAGGCAAGGAAACAGGCCCAGAAGGCGCAGGCAGAAAGGCGCAGACAUCCCACAGCGUAUCAGUGGCGGAGCCGGGGCGGGGGGCAUGUGCGCUCUACCUGGGCGAAGAGUCCAAGGAGUCGCUGAGAGGCGGCCGCUGGCCCGCAGGCAGGCCGGCCCCCGCGCGCCGCCCUCAGUCUCUCCCCGACCAGCUGUGCCUGGCCGCUCGGCCUGAGGCCUGA